AUUGAACGCUGGCGGCAGGCCUAACACAUGCAAGUCGAACGGUAACAGGAAACAGCUUGCUGUUUCGCUGACGAGUGGCGGACGGGUGAGUAAUGUCUGGGAAACUGCCUGAUGGAGGGGGAUAACUACUGGAAACGGUAACUAAUACCGCAUAACGUCGCAAGACCAAAGAGGGGGACCCUCGGGCCUCUUGCCAUCGGAUGUGCCCAGAUGGGAUUAGCUUGUUGGUGGGGUAACGGCUCACCAAGGCGACGAUCCCUAGCUGGUCUGAGAGGAUGACCAGCCACACUGGAACUGAGACACGGUCCAGACUCCUACGGGAGGCAGCAGUGGGGAAUAUUGCACAAUGGGCGCAAGCCUGAUGCAGCCAUGCCGCGUGUAUGAAGAAGGCCUUCGGGUUGUAAAGUACUUUCAGCGGGGAGGAAGGGAGUAAAGUUAAUACCUUUGCUCAUGGACGUUACCCGCAGAAGAAGCACCGGCUAACUCCGU
This 489-nucleotide ribosomal RNA is filed under the name uncultured bacterium. RNAcentral describes it as "partial 16S ribosomal RNA". It matches the Rfam family "Bacterial small subunit ribosomal RNA", at positions 30 to 506 of the family's 1533-position model. The record is from RNAcentral.